AAAAUAUUGUCUAUUUAAUUAAAGUAUUUGCCGUACGGUAGCGUAAUAGACGAUAUUUUGAGAUAAACAAAAACGUGGUUACUCUAGGUUUUUUAAUAUCACUGAUUAAUUUUGAUUCAAAGCGCCUAUUUUUUAGAAAUCGGACGUCGGUUGCAGUAUUUUUCAAGUGUUGUUAGUUUUGUGGUACAUUUAGUCUUAAAAUAAUUACAUCACAUACGAAAUGUCUACCGAAAAUUUACGACGAUCUUCACGACUAAAAGUAAGAAAACCUAAAAGGUAUAUGUCAUCCAAUUCAGAUGAAAAUUUGGAUGAUAAUCCAGUAAAUGCAGUAGAAGAUGAACUUAGAGAUGUAGAGGAGAAUGUACAAAAGCCAGUUGAAUUAUUUUCAAGCGAUGAUGUAAGUGGACAGGCAUUAUAUAAAUUCCAAACACCUAGUAGAAAAGAUGCUAUGACAAAGAAGGCACAUUUAUGUCGUACACCUAUUAAUGAUGUUUUAUUACCCAUAGCUAAAGUUGUUCUUGAAAAGAUAAAUGUUUAUAAUAAAGAACAACCAAAAACAUCAAAGAAAGACCAGAAAAUUUCAAAAAUUCCUGUUAUUCAAAGAAAAUAUGAAUUUGGAUUAACAUCAAGUGAAAAUGAGAGUAUAUCUGAAUCUAGUGAUUACCAUCCAAUUGAAGAUACUGAAGAAACAACCGAUAGUGAGGAUGUAGUAUCUAGCAAUGACGAAAAAGAUCAGAUGAAAAUAAGGAACCAAAAGCAAAAAUUUAUAUCACAGUCACAUUUAUUGAAUACACCAAAAAGAGUAACUAGAAAAAAUAAACCUUCAAUUAUUCAUAAAGAUUUUCAUAUGCAAACUGAUGAAUACUUUGCAACACAAUCAGAAAAGGUAGUUACAUCCGAUCGGACAUUAGAACAUUUACGUAAUUCUCGUUUAACAAAAGAAAAAUUGGAAAAAUUGUUAACAAAUCAAAGUCAUGUGUCUUUACAACAUAAAAAGAAAAUUUAUUCAAUAACUAAUAACUACUCUACGCUGUUCCCUAUGUGGUAUUUUAUUAUGGAGCAAGGCUAUACUGUAUUGCUUUAUGGCUUAGGUUCAAAAAGAUGUUUAAUCAAUGAUUUUUAUAAAAGUAUAUCUUAUCAUCCAUCACUAGUAGUUAAUGGAUUCUUUCCUAGUUUAACUAUGAAAGAUAUACUUGAUGGUAUAAUUAUUGAUUUAUUGGAGUUAAAUUGUCCUAGCAAUACAACUGAAUGUAUUGAUCUUAUUGAAAAAACCUUAAGGAAAAAUCCAAAAGACAGAUUGUAUUUGUUAAUACAUAAUAUAGAUGGUAUGAUGCUACGUUCAAAUAAAGCUCAAGAUUUACUAUCUUGUCUUGCAAAUAUACCAAAUAUUUGUGUUUUAGCAUCAGUUGAUCACAUUAAUGCCCCGCUAUUAUGGGACCAUACAAAACACUCCAAAUUCAAGUUUUUUUGGUGGGACACAACAACAUUUCUAUCUUAUCAAGAAGAAACAUCUUAUGAAAGUUCGCUCUUGGUUAAGCAAAGUGGUGCUCUUGCUUUAUCAUCUCUUCAUAAUGUUUUCCUUUCUCUAACUUCAAAUGCUAAGUCAAUCUAUUUAUUGCUUGUAAAAAAUCAGCUAAGCAACAGUAAUAAUGUUAAUUUUACUGGAAUGGCAUUUAAAGAUCUUUAUCGAGCUGCUCGUGAAGGAUUUCUUGUAAGCUCAGAUUUAGCAUUAAGAGCACAAUUAACUGAGUUUAUAGAUCACAAGUUAGUUAAAAUAAAGCGCAAUAUUGAUAGUAUUGAACAUCUUAUCAUUCCAUUAAGUUCUGGACUUCUAAAGCAGUUUCUAGAAGAACACGAUACAUGAUAUUUUUUACUACCUGUAGCAUAUAAAAUAUGGUAACCUAUAAACACAUUUGCUGUGGCACUGAAGUAAUUACAUUGGUACAAGAGCUUCGAUGUCCUUUAUUUGAACCGUGCUCAGGCCUCGCUGCCUGAACAAAACGAGCUAUGUCGACGAGUAGAAACACAGUUUUAAGAGGAAAUUUCAUCUUUUCCACGCUUCGGGGAAAGGAAAGUUUUAUUUGUUGUAUCGUCAGUUUUGUUUUACGUUAUAAUAUAAAAUUAUAAUUAUAAACGAUUUUAUCUUGAAUUUUUGUUUUAAUAUUAUGGAAAAUCUGAAACAAGGGUCGAGUUUAUAAUUAUUCACAGCACUAUAUAUUAUGUUUGCAUAGUGAUCGCCCUUAUUAUUAUCUUAUUAAAUAUAAAUCCGUUAUUAAAAUUAUUCCAGCUUUUUAUAUCUUUUAUUUUAUAAACAUUCUUUUGUCCGCCACUGCAUAUUACUUUCUCUGUUCAAACUUUUUAUCAGCGCGAUAGAAUACGCAGCGUGGUAGUAAACAGCCUUCGUAGCACAUACUUAUGCUCGCGUACGAUCGAAUCGUGACAGAACUGGCAAUGAAGCUUUCUACCAAACCCGUGGUCGUGCUCGUAUGCAAUCGCCAACACAACAACAUCGCCUUGUGGUCUAAACCAUCAGCGGUUAGAAUGUAUUUCUUUGUGGCUGCUUUAUCGAACGUUGGUUUAUCUCGCGGACGCAACGUUGAAGGCUUCUAUUGUAAUAUUUCGUUCGAUUCGGUUUAACAAAGGUGGGGGAGAAUAGUGUCGAGAGCAAACGAAACAUUUAGUAAUUGAAUGUAGCGAAUUAAACAAUGGUAGGGUAUCGUACGAGCCGACAAAUGGGCGUACCACUAGUAGUUUCACCGACAGACCUUCUCUUGAUGAAGACUAUUACUCAUUACACUUCCUGCCCGGCAGAACGCUAUCGACUAAAGUGAUGAAUCACGAGGCUAUAAGCAGAUCUUCGACUUUAUAAUUACAAUUUAAUGAAUGCGGCUACGAUGAUCGUGUGGAACUUCACCUGCUGCUAACCUUGGCAUUGUACAACUAAACUUUAGCGCGAACUUACAUUUCCAACCAGCCACUUUUUUUAUGGUUAGACCUGCUCUGUGCUUGAUGGAUUAAAAGUACAUGUUGCGUUUUAACUUAUUAGCGGAUUACAAGCGUACACGUGAUUGCACAUGCAUCAAUGCAUUUGAGUAUACAUUUGCUUAAGCUUGUCAUUAUAAUAUUGUUUACCACGUUGGAUAGUGGUGGAUGAAGUUGUCGGAAUUAACUUCCUAUAUUCGUUGGAAUUUGUAUUCGAUGACGCGUUAGUUUCUAGUUUUUGUGUAGUCUAUCGAUAACAAACGUAUCAUGAAAGUAAA
RNA transcript from Bombus impatiens (common eastern bumble bee), 3260 nucleotides. It is a transcript of the gene named origin recognition complex subunit 2, with no coding region annotated. The record is from RefSeq and is a predicted model, not a curated record. Lineage: Eukaryota; Metazoa; Arthropoda; Insecta; Hymenoptera; Apidae. The transcript is spliced from 12 exons.